UUGAGCCGUCACACGGAAUCGAGAGCUC
Molecule: small nuclear RNA, 28 nt
Filed under: Arabidopsis thaliana (thale cress)
Lineage: Eukaryota; Viridiplantae; Streptophyta; Magnoliopsida; Brassicales; Brassicaceae
Description: snRNA_15083
Source: RNAcentral